GCGCGUGUAGCUCAGGUGGUUAGAGCGUUACAUUGACAUUGUAAAGGCCCCUGGUUCGAGUCCAGGCAUGCGCA
Molecule: transfer RNA, 74 nt
Filed under: bacterium
Lineage: Bacteria
Also listed under: 1 other name
Description: tRNA-Val
Rfam family: tRNA
About the family: Transfer RNA (tRNA) molecules are approximately 80 nucleotides in length. Their secondary structure includes four short double-helical elements and three loops (D, anti-codon, and T loops).
Source: RNAcentral